AAUACGACUCUCGGCAACGGAUAUCUCGGCUCUCGCAUCGAUGAAGAACGUAGCGAAAUGCGAUACUUGGUGUGAAUUGCAGAAUCCCGUGAACCAUCGAGUCUUUGAACGCAAGUUGCGCCCCAAGCCGUUAAGCUGAGGGCACGUCUGCCUGGGUGUCACGC
This 164-nucleotide ribosomal RNA is filed under the name Aglaia tenuicaulis subsp. semengohensis. Its description in RNAcentral is "5.8S ribosomal RNA". It matches the Rfam family "5.8S ribosomal RNA". Rfam says of the family: 5.8S ribosomal RNA (5.8S rRNA) is a component of the large subunit of the eukaryotic ribosome. It is transcribed by RNA polymerase I as part of the 45S precursor that also contains 18S and 28S rRNA. Lineage: Eukaryota; Viridiplantae; Streptophyta; Magnoliopsida; Sapindales; Meliaceae. The record is from RNAcentral.